GGAGGGCUGUCCGAGAGGCCGAAGGAGAUGGUCUUGAAAACCAUUGUGCGGCAACGCACCAAGGGUUCGAAUCCCUUGCCCUCCG
This 85-nucleotide transfer RNA is filed under the name Actinomycetales bacterium. RNAcentral describes it as "tRNA-Ser". It matches the Rfam family "tRNA". Rfam says of the family: Transfer RNA (tRNA) molecules are approximately 80 nucleotides in length. Their secondary structure includes four short double-helical elements and three loops (D, anti-codon, and T loops). The record is from RNAcentral. Lineage: Bacteria; Bacillati; Actinomycetota; Actinomycetes; Actinomycetales.